CUUUGUCCUUUUUUGGUCCAUAGCUUAAUUUUUUUCUGGGAUUGCCACUGUGUCUUUGGAGUUAUUAGUUUCCUUUUUUAAAAAAAUUCUCAAAUGGCAAGCCAUUCUAUUUAUAUCUUUACAGAUAUCUGAUAAAAGCAAAUUUCAACAUUUUUGGUAGGCUAAAUAUUGUUGUUUUAAUUCUGCAUGCCACAGCUCAGAGUCACAUUGUCAAAGUAUAAUAUUCAUUUUCAAAAAACUUUAGCAUUAAGUACCUCAGACUAAAGAUAUUUAUAUCCAGUGAAAAAUGUUCAAACUGUUAAGCUAAGAGCAUACAGUUAAGCAUUCAUACAGACUUAUAUGAACAUAGACAUGAAAGGAAUCUAUAUUAAACAGUACAAGAGGAAUAUAGCAGCUUAGAAUCAAAAUAUGCCUCUGUUGCCUUUAUGUGUUUAAAAUUAACAUUUUUUAGUAGCUGAAAUUGUAGAGAAAAUGUUGCCCAGAAGUACCCAUUGAUUUGAGGGCAUUUCACUCAUUGUUACAAGGAUGUGAAGAUUGAAUCUCCUUGGCAAUGAUAUCAUUUUGGAGGGAGAAUAGGGAAAAUAGGUUACAAAACAGUGCAUAGAGAAUGGUUCCAUUUCAGUAAGGAUCAUCUUCUAUGCUUCAUCAUAAUUCUCAAUCUCCCAAGAGUUCUGCAACCUGAAAUGAGUACAAGUAGUCCCCUCUUGUCCAUGGGGUAUACUUUCUGAGACCCCCCUCUUAUCCAUGGGGGAUACUUUCUGAGAACCCCCCUCCCCUUAUCCAUGGGGGAUACUUUCUGAGAUUCCCAACCCCCCCACCAGUGGAUGCCUGAAACUGCGAUAGUACCAAACUCUGUAUAUUCUAUGUUUUUCACUAUACAUACAUAUCUAUGAUAAAGUUUAAUUUAUAAACUAGGCACAGUAAUAGAGUAACACAAUAAUAAAAGAGAACAAUUAUAACAAUACGCCAGCGUCUCUUCUCUUCUGCUUUGGGGCCAUUAUUCAUUAAAGUAAGGGUGACUUGAACCCAAGCACCGUAAUACCACUGCAGUCGAGCUGGUAACCAAGACAAAGUGACUAACGGGCAGGCAGUGUGGAUGAUUCACAUCCCAGGUAAGAUUUCAUCACGUUACUCAAAACAGCAUGCAACUUAACACUUAUAAAAUAUUUAUUUCUGGAAUUUUCCAUUUAAUAUUUUCAGACUGCAGUUGACAGCAGAUAACUGAAAGCUCGGAAAGCGAAACCGUGGAUAAGCAAGGGAACUGUGGCAUCCCGUUUAAAAUUGCUUCUGAAGAGAAGCAUGAGGUUACAUUUGUAAUCUCCCUGCAGCAGAGUCAACUGCAUAAGAAACCAAAAGACACACCUACCUGCUCCAUGCCAGCCUAAGCCACCACAUAAAAAGUCAGACCAUCUGCUAGAAGAACCACAUGGAGAGGCCCUGAGUCGACAUGGAGAGGAAGAAGGACUUGACUGAAUCCAGCCUUCCAGCUGUCCCUACCAAGGUGCCAGGCACGAGAAUGAAGCUGUCUUGGACUCUGAAGACCAGCUUAGCCACCAGAUGCCAAACACUGAGCAGGCUUUGUACUCCACCCACAAACCAGAGGCUGUCUCAGCAGGAAGGAGUUGGAGUUGGAGAAAAAGGAGAAUUAAGAAUCUAUCUGGCGAUGCGGAUUAAAUAAACAACAAAUUGGCAGAUUGUUUUUAAAAGAACUUCCAGCUUCUAGAGACUACUAGCCAAUUAGAAAAAUAAAUGCAACAUUAUAACUGUGGAAGUGCUACAAAGGAGAAGUUCAUGAUGAUAAAAGAUCCCCAUGAUAGAGGCAUGGGAAUGAACAGAGUUCCCUGAGGAGCCAUUUGAGCUGAAGGUGAAAGGACAAGCAGAAGAAGUUUACCAGCUAAACAAGGGAGGGAAGAUCAUUCCAAGGAGAGGGAACAUGAUGUGCAAACCCCCUUUGGCAUGAGUGAACUUGGCAAGGGUGAGACACUGCCAUUGGCCAGUGGACUGGAGCCAACAGGAUGAACAAGAAGCUGCAGGAAGAUGUUCAUGAUAUGCUGGAGAGACAGGAGCUGGAGGCUGCAGUAAGAUCUCCAUGCUUUACCUUAAGAGGAAUGGGAAGCCACUGGAGGAUUCUGAGCAGGGCAGUGAUGUGAUUUGCAUUUUGCAAAGUACACUGCAAAAUGAAUCUAGGUCGGAAGAGAUAACUGAAUGUGGGAGUACAAGGAAAAAGCCCCCAUGAGAGGGCUGCGGGGGAAACGGUUUCCCCAGGUUAGAUCCAUGCUUUCAGUAAGAAAGGAGGUGGUGUGAAAGGAACAGAUUGACUGAGGAGGAGAAGUCUGCUGGUUUUUGGGGAGUGGCUGUGAGGGUCGUAGCAGGCUGAGCUGGGGAAGGCAGGAGCUCUGGCCAGUGAAGGGAUGGCUGAUGGCCUGGUGCGGACCCUGGCUGGAGGGCUCACACACUGGACGCUGACUAACAAAACAGACGAAAAUGAGGAGUAUGAGGAUCUGUCUCAAGGGGGCCUUUGAGGAGGGCAAACAGGCCUUUGAGGCAGGUCCAGACACUGGCACCCUGCCUGCUUCUGUAGAAUUUAAUGCACCUGAGGUUACCAAGCUGGUGUCAUGGAGUGGCCAGAAGCCAGCUUCCAGUCUGAGGCAGUGGGUGAACCUAAACCACACUAUUUGACUCAAUUCUGUGUUUCCGGAAACUUUUAUGUUCUGAUCAAUGCAAAUAUGCCUACUGUAACAGCUGGCAAUGCCCAUGUCUCCACAAGGCCUGAGAAUAUGACCACAAUGGCAGUACAUCUCACCCAGGCUUCUGCUGGAUGGAGGGCUUCCAGAGACGGAGGGGCAGCUCGGUCAAUACCAUCCAAGAGGAGGUUCAACUCCAGACCUAGGCCAGCUGAAGAUCAAUGACAAGGGCAAGAUGGCUCUCUGCAGUCAACAUCACACACUUGUCUCAACAGAAGGAAGGAAUUUAUAUAAAAUAAGAAGUGGAAAGAGAAGAACAUCUGCGACAGUGAGAUGACAUUUCCACCUGAUCCUGAUUCCAUCUAAUAGCCAGUGCAGGUGUCGGGGAGGGAGGAUGGAGACAGGGUGGUUGGGGCUGGAAUAAAUGUUUUCAGCAGAACCAUGCCUCAGAUGGCUCUCAGAACUCAGCCUAGAAGGCAAGCCAGUUCAGAGGCACAAGGAGACUUAUGGAGAUGACAUAAAUGAACAGAAAAUAAACUGUACAUUUCACAAGAUUGGCACUGUAAGUCUGUGCUGUGAUGAACAGAGAUGUCAAACAUGCCCCAUGCCUGCCAGGUGUCAUGUUUCCAAAAUCCCUUGCUCUGUCAGAGUUUGCAGAGGAAUGAGCUGGGCUUUCUAAUUCCUGUUACUGGUAAUGGAUCACAUUUGUAGAGUACUUACUAUGCAUCAGGCACCAUGCUGAGAGGUUUCCUAUCUACUACUCCCCAUAAUCCUCACAUUGCUCUUUACAGAGAGAGGGGAUGGAGCUCAUUUACCUCAAGCGAUGGAGAAUCCCAAGGAGCCUUCAUUCUCCCCUUGACUGCACAUCUGUGCAUCUAGUUAAGGACCAGGACACAAUGGGAAGAGUUCCAAAGCCAACUGACCACCAAAUAAGUCUGAGCAUGAUGUGCUCCUGAAGCCAUUAGAGCGAAGGGUCACUCCUAAGACAGAGGGUCAGCU
Symphalangus syndactylus (siamang) is the source of this 3683-nucleotide long non-coding RNA. RefSeq lists it as uncharacterized. NCBI's taxonomy places the organism in Eukaryota, Metazoa, Chordata, Mammalia, Primates, Hylobatidae. The record is from RefSeq and is a predicted model, not a curated record.